RNAcentral lists this transfer RNA (73 nucleotides) under Daphnia galeata. It matches the Rfam family "tRNA". Rfam says of the family: Transfer RNA (tRNA) molecules are approximately 80 nucleotides in length. Their secondary structure includes four short double-helical elements and three loops (D, anti-codon, and T loops). Lineage: Eukaryota; Metazoa; Arthropoda; Branchiopoda; Diplostraca; Daphniidae. The record is from Rfam by way of RNAcentral.
GGUCCCAUGGCUUAGAUGGCAAAGCGCCUGCCUAAGUAAGCAGGAGAUCAUGAGUUCGAGUUCAUUGGGACCU